UAUUGGUCAAUGGGCGAGAGCCUGAACCAGCCAAGCCGCGUGAAGGAUGAAGGCCCUGCGGGUCGUAAACCUCUUUUGCCUGGGAGCAGUGGUCCGGACGAGUUCGGGCCGGGAGAGUACCCGGAGAAAAAGCAUCGGCUAACUCCGUGCCAGCAGCCGCGGUAAUACGGAGGAUGCGGGCGUUAUCCGGAUUUAUUGGGUUUAACGGGUGCUGAGGCGGGCAUUUAAGCCGGCGGUCAAAUGUCGGGGCUCAACCCCGGCCUGCCGUCGGAACUGGGUGCCUUGAGUGGGCGAGAAGUAUGCGGAAUGCGUGGUGUAGCGGUGAAAUGCAUAGAUAUCACGCAGAACCCCGAUUGCGAAGGCAGCAUACCGGCGCCCUACUGACGCUGAGGCACGAAAGUGCGGGUAUCGAACAGG
RNAcentral lists this ribosomal RNA (417 nucleotides) under uncultured bacterium. RNAcentral's name for it is "bacterial SSU rRNA". It matches the Rfam family "Bacterial small subunit ribosomal RNA", at positions 362 to 776 of the family's 1533-position model. The record is from RNAcentral.